This 1209-nucleotide ribosomal RNA is filed under the name Triticum aestivum (bread wheat). RNAcentral's name for it is "partial small subunit ribosomal RNA". Lineage: Eukaryota; Viridiplantae; Streptophyta; Magnoliopsida; Poales; Poaceae. The record is from RNAcentral.
AUGGCAGAAUCACUGCUUUUCCCUUUGGUGCGUGGCGUGGCCAGCAAGGCCACAAACGCCCUCGUCCAGACCGUGACCCGCAUGUGUGGCCUCGAUGACGACCGCCAAACGCUGGAGCACCAUCUGCUAGCCGUGGAGUGUAAGCUGGUCAACGCGGAGGAAAUGAGCCAAACAAAUGGCUACGUCAAGAGCUGGAUGGAGAAGCUCAAGGCCGUCGCCUACGAGGCCGACGACGUCCUCGACGAAUUUGAGUACGAGGCGCUGCGCCGCAAAUCCCAGAUCGGCAACUCCACUUCCUGCAAGGUACUUGGCUAUGUCACGUGCUGCAGCCUGCUGCUCUUCCGUUUUGCCAUGAGCAAGAAGCUCGAGGCAGUCCUCGGUAAGAUCAAGGAGCUGGUUGAGGAGAUGAACACGUUUGGCCUUGAGAAUUCUGGGAGUCGGGAGUACCAGCAACAUCCUUGGCGGCAGACGCACUCCAAACUGGAUGAAUCUACAAAAAUAUUUGGAAGAGGUGAUGACAAGGAGGGAGUGGUGAAGUUGCUGCUAGACCAGCAAGAUCAGAGGAUGGUGCAGGUGCUGCCCAUCUUUGGCAUGGGAGGUCUUGGCAAGACAACACUUGCUAAGAUGGUGUACAAUGACCAAGAGGUCAAGCAACAUUUCGAGUUGAAGAUGUGGCACUGCGUGUCAGAGAAUUUUGAUGUUAUUGCUAUUGUGAAAUCCAUCAUUGAAUUAGCUACAAAUGAAAGAUGUGACCUGCCCGACAAUAUUGAACUAUUGCAGAAGAAACUUGAUGAAGUCACUGGCCAAAAGAGAUUUUUACUUGUUCUCGAUGAUGUAUGGAAUGAAGAAAAGAGGAUGUGGGAUGAUGAAUUGAAGCCAAUACUUUGUUCUGUUGGCUUACCAGGAAGUGUUAUAGUGGUCACAUGCCGAAGCAAGCAAGUGGCAUCUAUAAUGGCCACCAUUAAGCCCCAUGAGCUAGCAUUUCUGAGUGAAGAAGAUUCGUGGGAACUGUUUUCGAACAAAGCAUUUAGUGAUGGUGUAGAGGAGCAACUAGAGUUACACACCAUUGGAAGACGUAUUGUCAAUAAAUGCGAGGGGUUGCCUCUUGCUCUGAAGACAAUGGGUGGAUUGUUGAGCUCAAAGAAACAAGUAGAUGAAUGGAAAGCCAUAGAAGAAAGUAACAUUGGUGCUAAUGUUGGAGGAUUAUGA